RNAcentral lists this ribosomal RNA (606 nucleotides) under Triticum aestivum (bread wheat). Its description in RNAcentral is "partial small subunit ribosomal RNA". The record is from RNAcentral. Lineage: Eukaryota; Viridiplantae; Streptophyta; Magnoliopsida; Poales; Poaceae.
AUGGGUCGGGUCUGGGCAGAAGGCUGGCGCCUGCGGGAGAAAGCACCGGGGGUUGGUGCAGCGACAAAUGAGGACGGGGUGGGCCGUGGAGGGAGGCUCGCCGGAUGGAGAAGCCGGAGCAAGGAGGCAUGUUCGGCCAUGGAGGUAUGCCCUUUGGCCGGAGCAGCAGGAGUAACUGCAGCCGCUGGUCGGCCCCAUGCACCGCCUCAGCCCGCAUCGUCUGCUGCAGCCCGCACGGUCGAGAGGGGCAGUUGCGCCGUAGUUGGCGGCGAGUUCAGCGGCCGCCUCCUCCUCUCCUCUUCGAAUCCAAUGCCUAUGGGUUCUCCUAAGUUGGAUUGUUCAUCCUUCUUUGCUGGUGGUGUGCUCGUCCGUUGCAAUAGCCUUCGUGCGCUGGAUCAACACUGCCGGUUGGUUUCUUCCUGUUCUGUCCUGCUUCCACCGUCGUAUCAUUCUGCCGUUGCCAUUGAGCAGGUUCGACGAUCUGCUAGGCUGCUGCAUCUGCAACUCUGUGCUGCUGUUCAAGGUUUGCUUGAUUCUUUCUGCCCUACAUGCUUGUUCUUUCUUGCUGCACAUAUGCUUCUCUUUCUCUUAAGUACUGAAUUCUGA